RNAcentral lists this ribosomal RNA (532 nucleotides) under uncultured Actinomycetes bacterium. RNAcentral's name for it is "bacterial SSU rRNA". It matches the Rfam family "Bacterial small subunit ribosomal RNA", at positions 150 to 698 of the family's 1533-position model. The record is from RNAcentral. Lineage: Bacteria; Bacillati; Actinomycetota; Actinomycetes.
UUGGAAACGACGGCUAAUACCGGAUGCCUUCACAUGGUCGCAUGGCCGAGUGAAGAAAUGCUCAGGCGCUCUAGGAGGGUCUCGCGGCCUAUCAGCUAGUUGGUGAGGUAACGGCUCACCAAGGCAUCGACGGGUAGCUGGUCUGAGAGGACGAUCAGCCACACUGGGACUGAGACACGGCCCAGACUCCUACGGGAGGCAGCAGUGGGGAAUAUUGCGCAAUGGGCGAAAGCCUGACGCAGCAACGCCGCGUGUGGGAUGACAGCUUUCGGGUUGUAAACCACUUUCAGUGACGACGAAAAUGACGGUAGUCACAGAAGAAGGUCCGGCCAACUACGUGCCAGCAGCCGCGGUAACACGUAGGGACCAAGCGUUGUCCGGAUUUAUUGGGCGUAAAGAGCUCGUAGGCGGUUCCGUAAGUCGGAUGUGAAAACUCAGGGCUCAACCCUGAGACGCCAUCUGAUACUGCGGUGACUAGAGUCCGGUAGGGGAGCAUGGAAUUCCUGGUGUAGCGGUGGAAUGCGCAGAUAUC